This is a long non-coding RNA of Hevea brasiliensis (rubber tree), 843 nucleotides long. RefSeq lists it as uncharacterized. Lineage: Eukaryota; Viridiplantae; Streptophyta; Magnoliopsida; Malpighiales; Euphorbiaceae. The record is from RefSeq and is a predicted model, not a curated record. The transcript has 2 exons.
AUUUGGAAUGUUGGUGGCUAGAGGUAAGUUGGUGGUUUGGAUUAGUGAAUUUUGUGUUUUCAAAGACUGAUUCUAUUCCCUUCCAAAUGAGUUUUAAUGAAAUUUUGCUUGAGGACAAGCAAGAGUUUGAGUAUGGGGGAAUUUGAUGCAUGCAUUUUAUAUCAUCAUUUAGGUUAAAUCUGGAGAAAUUUGAUGAAUUUUGAUCAGAGUAGCCAUUUGGAGGAGAUUAAAGUCGAAUUGCAAAAAUUUUGAAGUUGAGUUAAAAAUGGCCGAGAGCGACACAACCUGCAGCACAACCGAAUUAGCUUAUGUCGCAGGUUGUGUCGAUCGUCAGAUAUUCACGCCGAGAGCGACACAACCCGCGACACAACUGACUCGGCUUAUGUCGUUUUUACUGGAAAAUUUUUGACGUGGCAUUUCCGUUACUCCAGCCUUUUUACCUCACUUUCUCUGGAUCCUUCCCCCUUUUACCCAUUCUAGAACAGUCCCCUUGCCUAUAUAAAGUGCCCUUUAUCACUUUCUUUCCAUAGAGAGCAAGGGAGGCAUUUUUAGGAAGAUAGAAAGAGGGAAAGGGAGGAGCAUCUUCUGCAUCUUCUUCCAGCAGCAGCAAGGAUCACGUUUCUGCACUUUUCUGCAGAGAUCCUGCUGCAAAUCUGCUGGGUUUUUCUACCCCUUUAAGCUUACAUUUCCAUUAUUUCUUCAUUUCUUCAUUUGGGUUUAUUUUUAAACAAUGAUUUGUGAGUAGUUGAUUGAGAUUCUAGAGAUGGGUUUGUAAAUAUUGAUUUGUUUUGUGGUUUUGAACUGAUUUAGCCAUUUAAAUGAAGAUUGUUAUAUUUUGAUUUA